Molecule: long non-coding RNA, 3457 nt
Filed under: Callithrix jacchus (white-tufted-ear marmoset)
Lineage: Eukaryota; Metazoa; Chordata; Mammalia; Primates; Cebidae
Description: lncRNA (ENSCJAG00000076217.1)
Source: RNAcentral
AUGGUUAAUGAACAAGGUCCAUAUGAUAUGGGAAGGGAGAUAACAAAACCUCAGUCUCUCCAUGUGAAAACUAUGCCUAGUACAUUCUCAAUUCUAUUUUUUUUUUUUUUUUUUUUUUGGUCCAAACUAAAACCUCAGCUAGCUCUGAAAAAAAAAAAAGAUUGGCUGUCCAAAAUGGACAUAUCCCUGCCUGCCUGCAAGAAUCAAGAUUCAGGUGAUCAGAGUGGGCAAACCAAGUAAACAGCAUCUCUUAUGAGAAUCUCUCCUAAUGAAUGCUGUUUUUGCAUGGGUUCCAUAUUUCUGCAUAUGACCUGGCAAUAUCUGUUUUGUGACUAGCUUAAAAAUAUUUUUCUAAAUAUUGUAUUUUUGAAAUUUGAUUAUACUUUACCAAUUUAUUCAUUUUCACAAAUAUUCUUUCAGUAACUUCUAUGUGCAAAACUUGGGGCCAAGUAAGUAGAUAUAUUUCUUUUCUUUCUUUUCUCUUUUUUUUCAAGAUAUCUCACUCUGCCAUGCAGGACAGAGUGCAGUGUCAUGAUUUCUGCUCACUGCAACCUCCACCUCCCAGUUCAAGCUAGUCUCCUGCCUCAGCCUACGGAGCAGCAGGGAUUACAGGCAUGCACCACCAUGCCCGGCUAAUUUUUGCGUUUUUGUAGAGACAGGGUUUUGCUGUGUUGGCCAGGCUGGUCUCAAACUCCUGACCUCAAGUGAUCUGCUUGCCUCAGCCUCUCAAAGUGCUACGAUUACAGGCGUGAGCCACCAUGCCCUGCGUAGAUGUAUUUCUAAACAAGGCAUAAUCUCUUCCCUACAGUCCAUAGGGAAAUAAAUACCAAUAAUAAUUUCAAAAAAAUCUGAUAAAUUCUACAUAAAAGAUAUAAAUAUAAAUAAAUGUAAUUCAGAGUAGAAAACUAUUAGCACUUGUUGGAGUCUCUAAAAACGCUAUAAAGAGAAAGUAGCAUUGAGAUGAGCCUUGAAGCUUGAGUAUUAUGUUUUAAAAUAUAAUUUUAUGAACUUACUCUAUAAAUAAACCCACUUAUUUUUCAUAAAUUUGGCAAGAUAACCUUCAAAUAGAAGGAAAUAAAAUCAUCUAUAAGCCUGUCAGUCAAAAUCAAUGUUUUGAUUUUGCAGGAUUGAAUUACCUUAUCCCUCCCACAUAUCUAUGGUGUUUGUCACAUGAUGUGCAUUCCCUCCCACUAAAGGUUGUGUAUUCUUUCCUGUGUCUUGAAUUCUGCAUUAUCCAUGGGACUUGCUUUGGUCAAUGUGGUAUUAGCAGAUGUGACGCAAGCAGUGGCUUGAAAUGUGACUGCUGUCUUACAUUUCUCCCAUUGCAAUGAAAAAAAUAAGCUAUCUCCUGGUCCCAAAAGAAUACGGUCUCACAAAGAAGACCUGAAUCCUGUCAACAGCUUGGAGUUAAGUCCAGAAAAGUCUAGCAUAGAUCAGUCAAUAAUCAUCAAACAGCCAAUAGCACGUGACUGAGAAUAAAUCACUAUUGUUUUAAUCCACUGAGUUUAGGGGUGGUUUAUUAUGAAGGACAAUUUUGUCAAUAGCUGAUACAGUGUUUUCUAUGCUUUGUUUUUAUAAGAAUGACAUUAUACUGUAAAUGCUAUUUUGUAAUCUGGUAUUCACACUCAAUAGAUUGUGAUUAUAUUUCCAUUUGGUUACUUCUUUUUAAUGUCAGAAUAAUUUUUUAACGUUCCCUCAAGUAAAAAGCUGUAUUUUAUUAGUCAAGUUGGGCUGCAAGUGGGAAAAAAAUAAAACUGAGUGGAAGAAACAAGUUUCUUUCUUACAUGAAUAAAAGAAGCUCUGCGCUGGUACGACACCACAUAAUGUAGAACCCCAGACCCAGGCUAUCUCUUUCUCAUGGUUCAGGAAGAUGGAGGCAAGUAAAUAGGGGCAAGGGCAUUUUUCAUGAGUUGCACACACCAUUUUAUUUAUAUCCAAAGAGUAGAACUUAGUCACAUCGCAAUGACUAGCUAUAAAAAAAUUGAGGAAAGUGGCAUUUAUAACAAGUAAUUAAGACACAGGUAAAAAUGAUAGGCUUUAGUCUCAGGUGAAAAGUGGAGAACAAAGAGGGGACUAUAAUGGAUAAUCUCUGUGGUUGACACCUGUGUUGUUUUUAAUGCUUUAAUAUAAUAAAUAAUGCUAUGGUGAAAUUUAUAGUUUUUGGCAGGCAAAAAUGGAGCAGAUAUUUGAUAGGGAAUGGAGUGAAUAUAUGAAAACCUAGGAAGCUAUUUAAGAAUAAUGAGUGAUAUAAUGUUGUCAUGGUAUAAAAGUUGUGUAGCAUAGAUGGAAAUAAAGUUUGUCUUUCCAAAAAUAUUAAUCUUGUAUGCCCAGAAAGAGAAGCGAAUGCUGAGUCACAAGAUCAACAAUGCUAGAUCUUCAUUUUCAGAUUGUUAUCUAAUUAGUAUAUGAAGCACUUAUGUUUGCUAAGUGAACUAGUUGAUCCAACACAAAAAGCCGUCCUGGAGAGUUUAACUUUCCCUAGAUUUUUAUCAAAAUGUAAACAUUUUUCUUUUUCAUGUUAAAAGAUAAACGCUUUCUUGGAGUAACUAUUUUUUUAGAAUAGGUAUGAGUAUAUUCUAUAUUUUUAUAUAAAAUUGACAUUACUUGUCAUGAUCAUAGAAAUAAUAACUUACACUUGAAGAACUCUAUAGUUCACAAAACACUUUCACACAAAUGAUCUUAUAUCUUUGUCAUAAUAAAUCCUCAAAGUGAGCAAAGAAAUAUUAUCUUUUAUAGACAGAGAAACCAAAUAUCAAGGAAUAGUAAAUGUCUUCCAAAGAUCACACAACUAAUCAGGUUAAAAGUUUGGUAACUAGACUGAAAUCUAGGACUCCUGAUUCCUAUUACAUCAUAUUACAUUGUUGUAACUAUAAAUCAUAAAUGCUUAAUUUUAAUGAAACUGGAUUUAAUAUGAUGCAUUUAACAACAGACAACAAAUGUUAAUUAAAAAUUAACAAUUUAGUCUGGGUUUGGUGGCUCACACUUGUAAUCCCAGAACUUUGGGAGGCAGAGAUGAGUAGAUCACCUGACGUAAGGAGUUCAAGACCAGCCUGGACAAUAUGGUGAAAACUGAUCUCUACUAAAAAUACAAAAAAUUAGCUGGGUAUGGUGGCAGACUCCUGUAAUCUCACCUACUUGAGAGGCUGAGGCAGGAGAAUCACUUGAACCUGGGAGGCAGAGGUUGCAGUGAGCUAAGAUCGUGCCACUGCACUCCAUCCUGGGCAAUAAGGUGAGACUUGGCCUCAAAAAAAAUUGAUAAUUUGAUAUCAUUAUCAAAAAUAGUAUUUAUAUUUUAGUGGUAUUAAUAUUACUCAGUUCACCAUUACUGUCUUUGCUAAAUGAUCUUAAAUGGAAAAGCUAGAUAAUCAGUAUCUCCUGAGAAGUGUUUAUUCCUUUAUUAGUUUCUUAACAUAUAUGCUUAAAUUACAUAUACAUAUUUCCACUGGGGACAAAAAAA